RNAcentral lists this ribosomal RNA (253 nucleotides) under uncultured prokaryote. RNAcentral's name for it is "partial 16S ribosomal RNA". It matches the Rfam family "Bacterial small subunit ribosomal RNA", at positions 525 to 777 of the family's 1533-position model. The record is from RNAcentral.
ACGAAGGGGGCUAGCGUUGUUCGGAAUUACUGGGCGUAAAGCGCACGUAGGCGGACAUUUAAGUCAGGGGUGAAAUCCCAGAGCUCAACUCUGGAACUGCCUUUGAUACUGGGUGUCUAGAGUAUGGAAGAGGUGAGUGGAAUUCCGAGUGUAGAGGUGAAAUUCGUAGAUAUUCGGAGGAACACCAGUGGCGAAGGCGGCUCACUGGUCCAUUACUGACGCUGAGGUGCGAAAGCGUGGGGAGCAAACAGGA